This 506-nucleotide ribosomal RNA is filed under the name uncultured bacterium. Its description in RNAcentral is "partial 16S ribosomal RNA". It matches the Rfam family "Bacterial small subunit ribosomal RNA", at positions 29 to 523 of the family's 1533-position model. The record is from RNAcentral.
AGUGAACGCUGGCGGUAGGCCUAACACAUGCAAGUCGAACGGCAGCACAGGAGAGCUUGCCCUCUGGGUGGCGAGUGGCGGACGGGUGAGGAAUACAUCGGAAUCUACUCUGUCGUGGGGGAUAACGUAGGGAAACUUACGCUAAUACCGCAUACGACCUACGGGUGAAAGCAGGGGACCUUCGGGCCUUGCGCGAUUGAAUGAGCCGAUGUCGGAUUAGCUAGUUGGAGGGGUAAAGGCCCACCAAGGCGACGCUCCGUAGCUGGUCUGAGAGGAUGAUCAGCCACACUGGAACUGAGACACGGUCCAGACUCCUACGGGAGGCAGCAGUGGGGAAUAUUGGACAAUGGGCGCAAGCCUGAUCCAGCCAUACCGCGUGGGUGAAGAAGGCCUUCGGGUUGUAAAGUCCUUUUGUUGGGAAAGAAAUCCAGCUGGCUAAUACCCGGUUGGGAUGACGGUACCCAAAGAAUAAGCACCGGCUAACUUCGUGCCAGCCGCCGCCGUAA